Eleginops maclovinus (Patagonian blennie) is the source of this 1280-nucleotide long non-coding RNA. RefSeq lists it as uncharacterized. The transcript is spliced from 3 exons. The record is from RefSeq and is a predicted model, not a curated record. NCBI's taxonomy places the organism in Eukaryota, Metazoa, Chordata, Actinopteri, Perciformes, Eleginopidae.
ACUCAUGUGAUGCUGCAGGAAUACUGAAGGCCAUUAGAGAAAAGUGUAAGGAGAACCGUCUUAACCUCAGUAACUGCUUGACUGCAACAGCAGCUGAUGGGACUUCUGUCAAUUUUGGGACGACAAACGGUGUCCUUACCCAUCUCCAGCAGGAAUCCGCUUUGUGGAUGAUCAAGGUGCACUGCAUCGCCCACAGGCUUGAGCUGUGCCUGAAGGGUGCUUUUAAAGGUUCUUACUUCACACAGAUUGAUGAGCUGCUCAUGCACCUUUACUCCCUGUACCGUCGUUCCAGCAAGAAAUGGAAGGAGCUCAAGGCCAUUGGAGAGGCUUUUGAAGAGCAUGUCAUGAAGCCAAGUUGCUCUCAGGCUCUCAAGAUGGAUAAACCACAGGCGAAAGGCCUUAUCCUCCCUCGCCUCCAACUACAGAUGCAUCAUAGCACACCUUCUGGAAAGCCAGGAGGAUUCUCGACCAGAUAAGCAGAAGCUCAAGGCUUACUGGCGACAACUAACAUCAUCCAGGAGUAGGGUCAUGGCUUCCCAGGCUGCUCUGCUGAAACUGAAGGAACAACCUGGCCCCUACCUGCACCCUGUCAUCACUGCCUUCACCAACACUGGCCGCACUGGUGUCUUUAUGUACAAGGGAGUGGAGAUCAGCACCUCAUCAACAUCUGCUGAGGCCUUCCAUCGCCAAAGGAGUGAAAUAGUUAACACCAUCACUGCAUGUAUUGGUCAUCUUUUUCCACAUUCUCCACAGAUCCUGUGCUCCUGGCUGCUGAAGUCUUUGAUUCUGUUAACAUGCCAGCUGAAGAUAACGUCAGUGCCAUUCAGCAGUAUGGAGACAGUUAGCUGCUUAAGCUUUGCGAGCAUUUCAAACCACUUCUCACCGGUAAUGGCUGCAAUGUGGUAGAGGUGGAGAGGGAAUGGUUAAAAGCCAAAUAUGAUAUUGUGCGGCACCACAAGAGGGAGGCCUUCCUUGUGCUUUGGCAGAGGAUGCUGACGGAAAAGGAGAGCAAGUACCUCAACUCACUACAUCUCGUCAGGAUCGUCCUGGUAUUCCCUGUUUCCACAUCUCAAGUGGAGCGCCUGUGUUCCACAAUGAAGCGUAUGCAAGGAGACUGCCGCUUAAGGCUGAAGACUUCGACCAUUGAGGAUCUCCUUUUAAUCAAAUCCCAGGGCUGUGACCCUGUUGCAUACAAGAGCGAGGAGGCAGUGGCAAGAUGGUGGGCAGCUGGCCUCUUGAGAAAGAGACCAAACAUUCAACCAUAUGGGCCAAGACUGAAC